UAGGGAAUCUUCCACAAUGGACGCAAGUCUGAUGGAGCAACGCCGCGUGAGUGAAGAAGGGCUUCGGCUCGUAAAGCUCUGUUGUUAAAGAAGAACGUGGGUAAGAGUAACUGUUUACCCAGUGACGGUAUUUAACCAGAAAGCCACGGCUAACUACGGUGUCAG
Molecule: ribosomal RNA, 165 nt
Filed under: uncultured bacterium
Lineage: Bacteria
Description: partial 16S rRNA
Rfam family: Bacterial small subunit ribosomal RNA
Source: RNAcentral